RNAcentral lists this long non-coding RNA (948 nucleotides) under Anas platyrhynchos platyrhynchos (common mallard). Its description in RNAcentral is "lncRNA (ENSAPLG00000023386.1)". Lineage: Eukaryota; Metazoa; Chordata; Aves; Anseriformes; Anatidae. The record is from RNAcentral.
CUGGGCCAGAUGACCUCCAGAGGUUCCUUUCAAUCCCUCUGUGUUUCUAUGUCAUUCUGUGAAAACCAGUUGAAAUGGUGUGGAACAGAGCUAGGGAGCAAGCUAAAAAUUAAAUCAUGCAGAUGACGGGACAUCCUUCAGGCCUUCAGGCUACUCCUUAGACCUCCUGCUUUUUGCAGUAUAAAGAGUGUCUUAACUACAAUUUGCUCAUAUGCUCAGACUGGGACAGAACUUUUUCUUUUAUGUCCUUCUCCCCUUCUCUCAUUAGGGGUGAGCUCUUUCAUAUGAUAUCAGGGGUCCUGAAAUGACAGAAGGAAGAAGAUGCUCUCCCACCACAGAACAGAAGACUGGAGACAGGAGAAGAGGGUCUGCUGCAAGCCAACUUGUUCCAUUUCCUUUAUGUUGCACUCAAGAUCUGUGGUGUACAGGUUUCCAACGUGUGGUUACUUUGACUUUACUCUGAAAUAUCCCUUACAAGAAUUCCAUGGCAAUGUUACCUUGACGAAAACAAAUGUCCAAGAUCUUAAAUCACAUGGUAUGUACUGUAGCAGGCAGUGCUGGGCUAUGCUGAAGGACAAGAAAGACAUCUUUACAGAUACAGAUCUUUUUUAUGUUCCAGUGUUUAUUUCUCUAACCCCAUCUGGAAACAAAAGAAAAUAAACUCAGGCAACAACAUCUGUUGCUCCUGCUGCUCUGAAUUAAGCUAACUUAGUUUAAUCAUUUCACAAAAUCAAACACUAUUGCUCUACCUUUCCAGGUGUUUUCCUGACUCAUAGACUGACACUUCAGUUUGGCUCACUAGUUCUUCUCAUAAACUAUUCAAAUCUUAUUAAUUACCAUGAAAUCUAGACAACCUUUAAUUUCUCUUUUGGCAGAAAGAAGUAUACAGUCUACUGUGGAUGCUCUACUUAAAAUAAAAAAUAAAUAAAUAAAUAAAUAAAUAAAAAG